GAGACCUCUGAUCARAGAAGAUCACCCGCUGAGUUUAAG
RNAcentral lists this ribosomal RNA (39 nucleotides) under Leucoloma serrulatum. Its description in RNAcentral is "partial 26S ribosomal RNA". Lineage: Eukaryota; Viridiplantae; Streptophyta; Bryopsida; Dicranales; Dicranaceae. The record is from RNAcentral.